AGGUGCCCCCACCUCUUUUUAUGCACGUUCUGUAUUUGUGCCUUGGGAGUUAGCCUCUGUCAUGGGUAAGUGUGAGCAUUUGGGUAUGAGACUGUCACCAGCAACAUUAUCCAUGUCAGUACUAAAUGUACUUUCUGCAUUCAGCACAUUCCUAUUUUGCUGUAUUUGCUUUCAGUUCCUGCUGCCAGAGCUGCUAUGUAUGCUUGGAGAAAUGCAUGGCUACUUGAAGGAAAAAAACCACACAAAACUAACCAAAACAAAAUCCCACCAAAACCCCCCAAACCUUAGCUAAUUCCAACAAUCUCAAAUGCGUUGGAUCCAAGAUCCUUGAACCUGUCUCCGCACUUCGUGUGAGGCCUUGAUCUUUAGCCAGGUUGACCAGCCUGCCUGAAGCAUAUUCCCAGCUGUUCAGCCAGAGGGACCCUCAAGGUGGAAGUUAAAAGCCUCAUCAAGCUUCUACACCUUUCAUGUUUCCAGCAGGCUCAGUCUCCUCUCUCUCAUCACCCCAGGAAGUAUGCUGUCAGCCCUACUCUCCUUUCACCCCAGUAAACUGGGGUGUGAUGGUAGACUGUUUUAUUUAUGGAACCCCUGAAAACAAUGUAGACUAUUCCACAGAAACAUGUAAUAAAAUGCUAACAUGCCUACAACGUGGCAUUCUGCAUUUUGAUCGGCUUUGUGGCAAUUAUAAAUGCAAGGUGAAAGAAACAUCUAUGUAAGCACUUUAGGAGUGGCUAAUGAAUUUUUAAGUUUGAGUUUGGCCUAUUAGGAAGGGUUAUUCCAAGUGAUCCUGUAUGUAAGGUCUCUGUGCCUGGCCUCUAGAUCACUCUAGAUCACAAGUAGUUUCCCAAGUCUAUAGCCUUUUUCCUGGUUGAACAGCUCUCUAUGUAAAUGGCAUGUAGAACUUGUGCUUUGAAGCCAUGCAAAUUUUCACUUUAACCAGCAGAACUUAAAAUCCAAUAUUAAGAUCUCUGCUUUCUCCAAUAUUAACAGGCCUGCUCAAGGAAAUUAAUGCAGAAACAGGGUUUUUUUGGUGAUAUGAUUGUUUUACCUUUUUCUUUUAAGAGUGCCCAGCCUUUGAUCUAAUUCUAGUUGGAGUCACUGAAGUAACAUCUCCCAAUUACCCUGGCAUUUACCCUGACAUGCUGAACUGCACUUGGACAACUUAUUCUACUUCAGGAAACAAGCUGAAGGCUGUGCUUAAAGAUUUUGUAACUGAGGAUGCAAGGGAUUGCAUCUGGGAUCAUUUGAGUAUUUAUGAUGGACCACAUAGCUCUUCAAGGCUUCUGGGUACAUGUUCAUUUACUAUCUAGCUGCAAGUACCAAAGCUGCCUUGUGCCAUACAGACAUCGGGAUCUUUGGGUACAGAAAUGUUCACUGGAAUGGCUUCAUGCCUUCCUGGUUCUCUUCCCCCCAUGUAUGUAGACAUGAAAACUGGUUAUUGAAAUAAUUUCACUAAAGUAUGACAGGCACUCGUCUAGAGCAUGAGAACAAUUUGGCCAUUGCACUAGGCUUCACUUCUUCAGCCUGGGUAGGGAGUGAUAUUGCAUAGGCCACUAGAGAGUUACCUCUUGAAAGACCUCAGAGAAGUCUUGGCAUCCACUAAUAUCUUUGAGUAUCAAAUGGCUUGGAUUAAAACAUCUGUCCCUGGUAAUAAGUAUAGAGGCUGUGUCUCAAACUACUUGGCAAUGACUACAACUGCAGUAUUUUUUUUCUUCCCCCUACCAGCAAACUUAUUUGGCCAGAAAAAUCUUUUAGCAUGUUCUCCAACAGCAGCUUCCUGACCCUGCAUUUCAAAGCUGAUGAAUCUGUGGGAUACAGAGGCUUCAAAAUCCUUCUUGAAGAGUUGAUUCAGCAGCCAACACAAAGUGAGCUGGAAGGCAGCAGCCAAUUGCUCAGAACAGUUCUGGGGAAAAAAUACUUGUUGCCAAAUGUGAAGGAUGACAACCCCAUGCUUGUGAAAGCCAUGCACAUGCACUAUGGCUUUGAUGGGUUUCCUUUCAGAAGUGGCCUGGCACUCCUGGAGCUGCAGAAACCCACUGAGCCAGGCAGUCCUGUGGCAACAACUUGCUUACCAGGCAGUGGGGAGGAAGCAAGCACUGCUGCAAGAUGCUUAACAGCGGGGAUGGGGAGAGACAGGAGCUGGCAGAAGAACUGGCUGCCAGGCUCCAACAAGCAGAGAUCUUUUUCCUCUCCCACAACGCCUGUGCGAACUACUGAGGACAAAAUAUUGAAGAGACCAAUGUCUGCGGAAGCGCUGUAGAGGCAGCUUUUUGCACGAGAAGAAAGUGGCUUUCAUUUGGAAGGAACUCCAGUGCUGAGACAUCCAGGAGCUCCUAAUCAUUAGGACCUACAACCAAGGUUUUUAGGUUUUUCUCCAGCUUCAUCUAAAAACUUGUACCCUCCAAAAAAGCACUGCUCUUAUAUGGGAAUGCAACUCACACAAAUGUCAUACAUCACCAUGCACCACCACUGAGAGUCCGUAGGGAUAAAUUUGACUUUUCUUGUUGACACAAAAAUCUGCCCACUUUGUGGGAGCAUGAGGCACCCACAACCCCUCCUCUCAUGGUGCCUCCAGGAGGAGCAACAAGCCCUGGCAGUGAAUAACAGAGGAGCCUCUCUGCAACACAGCGCUGGUCGCACAUGCAGGAGGUGCUGCUGCAGAUGGGUGUGUUAUGGUCCCUUCUCCUCCUCACGGACUCGGGAGAGAAGAAAGGAUAACAAUGAACUGCAGAGUUCCUAUGAAGAUACCACAUAUCUUCUGCCAGCUGUCAUGGUAGCCUUUGCUCAAAAGAAGACCUCGCUUCCAGUUCCUCAGACUCCCUCACUUCUGCAGGUGUUUCCAAACCAUCUAUAUACUCUCCCCAUUUGGUUUCUGUCAGCAGUGAUUCCCUGAGGGCUCCCAAGGUCCACAUGCACUCUGCACUGCUUUAAUGUACUCCAGCAUCUCCCCAGCUGUCACUGGCUGCUGCAAAACAGCUCCUCCUCGCACAGCUUUCCACCUGGCCUGAGUGUCCUCAUACUGCGAAGCAUCACAGCUGGAUGGAUACAGGCACUGCGGAGAGAGGCGAGGGAGCACGAGGGCGGUUGAUGCCCUAACACAGGUAGGAAUCGCUCUACAACAGCCCACCCUUCCCUGGGCUUCAGCAGUAGACACAGACCACAUGCAUGCACCUCCUCCAGAAGGCAUGUGGAGCACUGUGGGCAUGCACACGCCUCCGUGCUGACUCCUUCCCCCGGCCUGUGUUUUGUUUUGCUCGUCUCUUGUGUGGCUUGUCUUCAUGUCGGGUGUUGUGGCGAGAGAUGUUGGACCUUUUGUAGAAGACAUCUCCUGGGAAAGCACGUGGCUCUGUGGUGUCACCAUAGGGCAUCAGGCAACACAGUAUGGCAGGCUCAGGAUUGCUCUUGCUUUUCACUGUAAGUUCCUCUUCUGUCCAGCAGUAUAUGUGUGCAUUCACCCCUCCUCCUCUCGCUCUGUUCCCCCAUAGGCCAGAUGUCCUCUCCUCCCUUCUGAGACCCACUCCUUUUUGCUGUGCUCCAGGUGAACCGUAUCACUUUGGGGAUGAAGGGGCCACAGGGUGGGUCCUGCCACCCGCAGUCACAGGGCAAAGUCGCCUGUGUACCCGGAGAGACCCAGUCUGCCACGCUGCUGUAGCAGAGCACAGAGGAUAGUCAGCAAGCUCAGGGGAGAUGACUGCAAAUCAGGAGCUUAAUCAAGGAUGCGCAGCACUGAAGGGCAUUGUUCUUUCACUGCUUACUUUCUGUGGAGUAAGUGCCAGCCACCAGAAAGCUGUAUGUAGCUCUUGUCCAGUGCGAUGCAAAGGCAGGGUAGGUAUAAAUGUGUUCUGAGCGUUGUAAGAUACUGCUGUACAGCAGUGCUUUGCAUGGCACUGCAAAUGUUAACUGGGUACAGAGCUGCUGUUAGCGCUGGCAGAGCACCUGCGGAUGGGCUUAUCACGUUGGGUGUGAAUGCAGACUUAGAAUGUUUGAAACAUAAAGCUGAGCUCCAGAGUUGUUUGGGAUCCCUGCGCAGACAUAGCAGUCGUGAACUAAAUUGGGGAUGGUUACAAUGUGCCUUGGCCGGGAUCUCAGAAGAGCUGAAUGUGCAUGUGCUUCUCUGUUUAAGACCAGGAUUAACACAGUGCGGACUCUAAUUUGGAUUCCAGGAACGAAGUUCAAGAAUCUAUCCUUGCACAGCCAGGAGGGCUAUCUGAGGCAAAAGUGAAAUUGAUUUUGGUUUAAAAGGGCUGUAAAGAAAGAUAGGAGUAAAUAUGGAGAAAAAUAAUCUAAAAUUGAUUAGAAAGGAGCCAUUACCCAGCAGGCAGUAAAACACUGAAGAUAGGCCAUUGAAUAACCAUGAAAAGAAAAUGAGAAUGCUCUGGCGUAUACAAAUAAGAAUCAGAACAUUGCACUCCUGCAGUGGUAUUUUUUGCUUCGGUCCAUGUGUCACUCUUUUGUGGUUUAAGGUUAGAAACUGCUGUGAAAGACUAAAGACGUGCCCCAUAACUUGGAAGAAACUCUGGAUCAGGAUCGGUAACUAUCAGAGGGAUUUAUAGCAAAGUUCAGCCUAGAAAUGCAGCAGUGGGGACAUAUUCUGGGAGCAAAGUGCAAGCAGGACUUGUGUGUCAAAUUACAUCACAGAUACCAAACUGAAGGAAAAAAGGGGGAUUUCAUUCUUGAUGCUGGCGUGGAAAAGGAAAAUCUGGCUGUAUACUUGCAAUAUCUGGAACAUGAAACAGUGGCAGUGGUUUUAAUUACAUAGAUGGGACUUACUGAAUAUAUCCAUUUGGAGACUGAGAUUCCCAAAGUAUGGCUGUAUGAGAGACAUCAAGUUACCAUACAAAUUUCAACUACAUUUUUACAACCUUACAGUGGACUUUGCACAUUUAGUGAUGUGGUCGGGGCAUUUCUGCUUCUAGUUCUCUGUUCAGCCCAGAUUUGAUGCUGUAUAUAAGGCAUAUCUAACAUGUUAAU
Molecule: long non-coding RNA, 4971 nt
Organism: Harpia harpyja (harpy eagle)
Lineage: Eukaryota; Metazoa; Chordata; Aves; Accipitriformes; Accipitridae
Exons: 7
Source: RefSeq, a predicted model, not a curated record